RNAcentral lists this transfer-messenger RNA (374 nucleotides) under Chloroflexota bacterium. RNAcentral describes it as "Chloroflexi bacterium transfer-messenger RNA". It matches the Rfam family "transfer-messenger RNA". From Rfam's summary of the family: Bacterial tmRNA, also known as 10Sa RNA or SsrA, is named for its dual tRNA and mRNA-like properties. Its role is to liberate the mRNA from a stalled ribosome. To accomplish this part of the tmRNA is used as a reading frame that ends in a translation stop signal. Lineage: Bacteria; Bacillati; Chloroflexota. The record is from RNAcentral. RNAcentral also lists the same sequence under 2 other names.
GGGGCCGUUUGGAUUCGACGGGGUCGUGGGUCGUGCGAUGGCGAGCCGAGCCCCGGGCUCGUAAAACCGGGAAAAACAUACGUGCGAAUGACGCACCUCUCGCCCUCGCUGCGUAAGUAGCAGAGACGAAAAAGCUCGGGCUACGGCCCGACGUCGACCGCCCCUGGGGCCGCCAGAGGCGGAGCCGACGUUAAUGCCAGCGGUCUUGCCGUCCGGUGGCGCCUCGGCGCCGGGCGGGACGCACACCGAGGCUGGCCGGAGCGGAGCCUGUCCCAGGGCGCCGCGCCGGUGAGAGCAAAACCGGGACUACGCUCGUAGAGGUCGCAUGGAACGCGGCUUCGGACGCGGGGUUCGAUGCCCCGCCGGCUCCACCA